UCUAGAGCUAAUACAUGCAUUUUACGGCUGUGGGGCUACUCGCAGUCGGUGGCAUUUAUUAGAAAGCUACCAAUCGCAUUUUGCGUGGUGAAUCUAGAUAACUGUGCAGAUCGUAUGGCCUCGAGCCGGCGACAUUUCGAUUGAAUUUCUGCCCUAUCAACUAUUGUCGGUAGUGUAGUGGACUACCGAGGUUUUGACGGGUGACGGGGGAUCAGGGUUCGAUUCCGGAGAGGGAGCCUGAGAAACGGCUACCACAUCCAAGGAAGGCAGCAGGCGCGCGAAUUACCCAAUCCAGACAAUGGGAGGUGGUGACGAAAAGUACCGGAUGACGGCCUAAGGCUGUCAAUCUGGAAUGGAACCAAUUUAGAAAUUUGGUUGAGAAACUACUGGAGGGCAAGUCUGGUGCCAGCAGCCGCGGUAAUUCCAGCUCCAGUAGCGUACCUCAAAGUUGCUGCGCUUAAAACGCUCGUAGUUGGAUCACAAACUGUGUGUUGGUGGGUGGGGAUGACAGUGUCUAUUUCGGAAAGGUAACGGUGUGUCAUCAUGCCGCGGCCGAUCCGGAUGAUGCAGAGUCGCCACCGUAAGCCGACGGACAGUAAUUGCACGUGAGGAUGAAUGUUGGCCUUGAGUGAGCAGACGUUUGUGUCUCACGGAGUGUGCCUUGAGUAAAUCAGAGUGCUUAAAGCAGGCUUUACGCUUGAAUGUUUUAGCAUGGAACGAACAAUUGUGUAUGGUGUAUGCUGGCGAGGUUUGGAGUGCUUCGGUGCCACAGCCAUCAGUAUACGACACCGACCUUCAAUUACGGAUGUUGGUUCCGUAUUGGGGUACUGAUUAAAAGGAGCGGUUGGGGGCAUUGGUAUU
RNAcentral lists this ribosomal RNA (861 nucleotides) under Myxozoa sp. OMsCVII 14. Its description in RNAcentral is "SSU rRNA". It matches the Rfam family "Eukaryotic small subunit ribosomal RNA", at positions 157 to 898 of the family's 1831-position model. Lineage: Eukaryota; Metazoa; Cnidaria; Myxozoa. The record is from RNAcentral.